AAGAGAUUGAUUUUUGUAAAUACGUUUAAGACGUAUUUUAUUUAACUAGCAACUGCGUUUGUUUGAGUCAAUAAAUAGCAUGUAAGAUGGUAGAAUGGUAUUAAAUUUUGGACAUGUUAUUAAAACAAUGUUAUUGAAACAAUAUUCCAAAAAUGUGAUUUUACAAGUUUAUCUUGGGUUGAAUUAUAAAUAUAUAAUUCAAAAGAUAGCCCAGGGCAGAAGGACGACGUGUACUGCAGCCUAGAAGAUGAAUGCAGACAGCGUUGGAAAGAAUAUAUGAAGAUACUUCCAAAAAACCUGCUACAGAGAGGUAACAAAGAUGCAUUGAUGAACUGAUUCAGUAGCGAAGGCCUGGACUAAGGCUUUGAGAAAAAAAGCUCAGAGAGCCUGAAGCAGCCUCUAGUACCUUGAGUCUCCUGAAAGAAUAAAAGUUAAAAAUCCUCAAUUUUGGAAAUCACCACGUACAACUUUAUUAAUACCUUGGAGCAAGACCCAUCUUCAUCAUGUAAUUGCAGCUAAGGUCAAAUAAAAUUUUAUUGGUGAUGGGGUUAUAAACAAGAUCAUGGAACACAACGAGAAUAAAAAAAAACAAGUAAAAAAUGAAGAGAGAAGACACGCUUGUGUAGAUGACACUAGACAACAAUAAUAGGGUAACAACGUACUUGUCAUUGGAUCACAGAUGGUAUGCAAAUUGAUUGCAGCCAAGAUACUCCAGGAUAAUACUCGGCAAACGUAUCCAUAUAUAGCAAAAUAUGACA
This is a long non-coding RNA of Frieseomelitta varia, 758 nucleotides long. RefSeq lists it as uncharacterized. The record is from RefSeq and is a predicted model, not a curated record. The transcript is spliced from 3 exons. NCBI's taxonomy places the organism in Eukaryota, Metazoa, Arthropoda, Insecta, Hymenoptera, Apidae.